Molecule: long non-coding RNA, 873 nt
Organism: Parus major (Great Tit)
Lineage: Eukaryota; Metazoa; Chordata; Aves; Passeriformes; Paridae
Exons: 3
Source: RefSeq, a predicted model, not a curated record
CUGGAAAGCUCUGAGCAACUCAGCUGGUGGCAAACUCCUUCCUGCCCCUUGAGAACACCUGGGAUGCUCCACAGAAUUAGAAGUCCCUAACUUCCCACAGCUGAGGGGACACCCAGAACAAGAGCCUUUGGUUAUAUAGAGGGAUAUUAAGCUGGCCUGCUUUUCCUGAGGCAGGUCAUGGUAUGGUCUUGAUCUCCUUCAGGCUUGCCCUAAGACUGCAGCCUUAAACCCAAGGGUUUAUAACAGGAGAGCUGUGCUGUUCUCCUGCAUCCCUUCUGGAGCUCCACUGGAUUUGGUUGUGACCUUGCAGUUUGGGGCUGUGAUCUUCCUGGUGAUAACCUCAUCAUCUCGCCUUGGCCUGUCCCUAAAGGGUCUGUUCCAGGGACACAUUUUCUCAGCUAUCCCCUCCUCCUUGCACACAGACUUGUUGUUCCAAGUUUCGCUUCAUUUUUGAAGGUGGCAGUACAGAGAGCCGAUGUAUGGAAUAUUUUCUUCCUCCAAUGUCUUCGUGGAUCUUCCCCCAAGCCUUAUGUUGGUGUUUCCCAGCUGCCCGGGUUUCUCAUGCAGAUGAGCCCUGCAAAACGGUUUCCUCCUGCACCCUCUUAGGACAAAGGCUCAGUUGUUGUUUUCUGUUGAUAAACUGGACAUUUAACUGCUUCGUUUCCCCUCCUCUACAGCAGAAUUAGUCGGGGGUAUUUGCUCAGGCCCCAAUCCCUGGGAUUGCUGGGGGACAAUCGCUCAAGAGGUUCCGAUUUAGAAACCAAUGAAUGUCAAGCUGAGCCUCUGAACUAAACUUUCUUUGAGAUGAGCCAGAGUGACCUGCAGCGAGCUCUAAAGAAGAGUGCAAUGACCCCCCCUCCCCUUCCCUUCUCG